Molecule: ribosomal RNA, 497 nt
Filed under: uncultured bacterium
Lineage: Bacteria
Description: partial 16S ribosomal RNA
Rfam family: Bacterial small subunit ribosomal RNA
Source: RNAcentral
GAUGAACGCUGGCGGCGUGCCUAAUACAUGCAAGUCGAGCGAACGGACGAGAAGCUUGCUUCUCUGAUGUUAGCGGCGGACGGGUGAGUAACACGUGGAUAACCUACCUAUAAGACUGGGAUAACUUCGGGAAACCGGAGCUAAUACCGGAUAAUAUUUUGAACCGCAUGGUUCAAUAGUGAAAGACGGUCUUGCUGUCACUUAUAGAUGGAUCCGCGCUGCAUUAGCUAGUUGGUAAGGUAACGGCUUACCAAGGCAACGAUGCAUAGCCGACCUGAGAGGGUGAUCGGCCACACUGGAACUGAGACACGGCCCAGACUCCUACGGGAGGCAGCAGUAGGGAAUCUUCCGCAAUGGGCGAAAGCCUGACGGAGCAACGCCGCGUGAGUGAUGAAGGUCUUCGGAUCGUAAAACUCUGUUAUUAGGGAAGAACAUAUGUGUAAGUAACUGUGCACAUCUUGACGGUACCUAAUCAGAAAGCCACGGCUAACUACGUG